AAUUCGUAAUUUUUCCACCAAAAAACAUAAACCCGUGAUUUUCUCGCCAAAAACGUAAACCCGUGAUUUUCCCGCCAAAAACGUAAACCCUUAAUUUUCCCGCCAAAAACGUAAACCCGUAAUUUUCCCACCAAAAACGUAAACCCGUGAUUUUCCCGCCAAAAAUGUAAACCCGUGAUUUUCCCGCCAAAAACGUAAACCCGUGAUUUUCCCGCCAAAAACGUAAACCCGAGAUUUUCCCGCCAAAAACGUAAAUCCGUUAUUUUUUCGCCCAAAACGUAAACCCAUGAUUUUUCCGUCAAAAACGUAAAUCCGUGAUUUUCCCGCCAAAAACGUAAAUCCGAGAUUUUUUCGCCGAAAAGCUUAAACCCGAAAUUUUCCAGCCAAAAACGUAAACCCAUCAUUUUCCGGCCAAAAACGUAAAAAACUAUAAUUUUCCUGUCAAAACGUAAAUCCGUGAUUUUCCGUACCUAAAACGUAAACCUGUAAAAA
This 492-nucleotide small RNA is filed under the name Arabidopsis thaliana (thale cress). RNAcentral describes it as "ATSL240350". Lineage: Eukaryota; Viridiplantae; Streptophyta; Magnoliopsida; Brassicales; Brassicaceae. The record is from RNAcentral.